GAUGAAUGCUGGCGGCGUGCCUAAUACAUGCAAGUCGAGCGGUAAGGCCCUCCGGGGUACACGAGCGGCGGACGGCUGAGUAACGCGUGGGAACAUGCCCCAAAGUGAGGGAUAACGCACCGAAAGGUGUGCUAAUACCGCAUAUGGUCUUCGGAUUAAAGGAUUUAUCCGCUUUGGGAGUGGCCCGCGUACGAUUAGAUUGUUGGUGAGGUAACGGCUCACCAAGUCGACGAUCGUUAACUGGUCUGAGAGGAUGAUCAGUCAGACUGGAACUGAGACACGGUCCAGACUCCUACGGGAGGCAGCAGUAAGGAAUCUUCCACAAUGGGCGAAAGCCUGAUGGAGCAACGCCGCGUGCAGGAUGAAGGCCCUCGGGUCGUAAACUGCUUUUAUGAGUGAAGAAUACGACGGUAACUCAUGAAUAAGCACCGGCUAACUACGUGCCAGCAGCCGCGGUAAU
This 460-nucleotide ribosomal RNA is filed under the name uncultured bacterium. RNAcentral's name for it is "bacterial SSU rRNA". It matches the Rfam family "Bacterial small subunit ribosomal RNA", at positions 28 to 524 of the family's 1533-position model. The record is from RNAcentral.